CCUACGGGGUGCAGCAGUGGGGGAUAUUGGACAAUGGGGGAAACCCUGAUCCAGCGACGCCGCGUGAGUGAAGAAGUAUUUCGGUAUGUAAAGCUCUAUCAGCAGGGAAGAAAGAAAUGACGGUACCUGAGUAAGAAGCCCCGGCUAACUACGUGCCAGCAGCCGCGGUAAUUCGUAGGGGGCAAGCGUUAUCCGGAAUUACUGGGUGUAAAGGGAGCGUAGACGGUAAUGCAAGUCUGGAGUGAAAGGCGGGGGCCCAACCCCCGGACUGCUCUGGAAACUGUGUAACUGGAGUGCAGGAGAGGCAGGCGGAAUUCCUGGUGUAGCGGUGAAAUGCGUAGAUAUUAGGAGGAACACCAGUGGCGAAGGCGGCCUGCUGGACUGUAACUGACGUUGAGGCUCGAAAGCGUGGGGAGCAAACAGGAUUAGAUACCCCUGUAGUC
RNAcentral lists this ribosomal RNA (443 nucleotides) under uncultured bacterium. RNAcentral's name for it is "partial 16S ribosomal RNA". It matches the Rfam family "Bacterial small subunit ribosomal RNA", at positions 338 to 795 of the family's 1533-position model. The record is from RNAcentral.